This 497-nucleotide ribosomal RNA is filed under the name uncultured bacterium. Its description in RNAcentral is "partial 16S ribosomal RNA". It matches the Rfam family "Bacterial small subunit ribosomal RNA", at positions 28 to 507 of the family's 1533-position model. The record is from RNAcentral.
GAUGAACGCUGGCGGCGUGCCUAAUACAUGCAAGUCGAGCGAACAGACGAGGAGCUUGCUCCUCUGACGUUAGCGGCGACCGGGUGAGUAACACGUGGAUAACCUCCCUAUAAGACUGGGAUAACUUCGGGAAACCGGAGCUAAUACCGGAUAAUAUCUUGAACCGCAUGGUUCAAUAGUGAAAGACGGUUUUGCUGUCACUUAUAGAUGGAUCCGCGCCGCAUUAGCUAGUUGGUAAGGUAACGGCUUACCAAGGCAACGAUGCGUAGCCGACCUGAGAGGGUGAUCGGCCACACUGGAACUGAGACACGGUCCAGACUCCUACGGGAGGCAGCAGUAGGGAAUCUUCCGCAAUGGGCGAAAGCCUGACGGAGCAACGCCGCGUGAGUGAUGAAGGUCUUCGGAUCGUAAAACUCUGUUAUUAGGGAAGAACAAAUGUGUAAGUAACUAUGCACGUCUUGACGGUACCUAAUCAGAAAGCCACGGCUAACUACGUG